Molecule: long non-coding RNA, 508 nt
Filed under: Salmo salar (Atlantic salmon)
Lineage: Eukaryota; Metazoa; Chordata; Actinopteri; Salmoniformes; Salmonidae
Description: lncRNA (ENSSSAG00000108532.1)
Source: RNAcentral
CACGACUGACCCCCCGCGGACCCGCACGGUUUGGUUACACUGUUAAUGAUCACAGAAAUGGGCCUAUAUAGUCAACUUUAGGCCUAGUCUACUACUACCAAUCUGUGGUAUUAUAAGCAUUUCAACUGCCAGAGAAAUGGAUGGAAAUGACCGAUGGACAAAUAUCAACCUGCUAUUGAUAACUAGGCGAUGUGAGGGUGUUUUGCGAAUAUCAGACAACGACUGUUUCUAAACUUCAUGUGCAGCAGAACGCUCUCCUCUCUCUCCUUGCGCCCUCUGACCUGUAGGUGUUCUCUUUUCUCAUAUGGCAGAGAGGGAGAGAGACAGCGAGUGAGCGAGAGAGUUAGAACCCUCAAUGUCUCAAAUCCUAAUCCUGCGAUAAGAAACAGCAGCCUUAGUUGGCUACCAGCCGGUCCUGGCACCGUGGCAUCAGAGUCAGACCGAGGCUCCUGCGGUGGAGGAGUGGGUGCAGCACUCCAAAGAGACCUGGAGGGCUGUCCAGGAAUCC